CAUAGAUUCAAAGAACAAAGAAUUGCGAUUCAUUUAGAAUGGAAGAGGCCAACUACGUGAAUCCAAGGUUUAAAAUGAGACCUCAAACAGCGAAGCUAAAAUCAAUAGGCUCCAUAUUCAUGUUAAACUCGACGCAAUUUGAUACUAAUUCACUGAUCACGAAAGUGAAUCGUAUAGCAAUCCAAUAUGUCCAACAGAACAGAUCUAAAAAAAACCACAGACCUUUAAGCACGAAAAUGAAACAGAACAUAAGCAACGGAGGGAGAUCGAAUCUAACCAAAACCAAACUUGAUAGGGAAUAUGGAAAUGAACCUGGAUAUUCAGAAUUUCAAUUAACUUUGAUGUCGACAAGUUCUUACAGAAACGAAUGGAAUAGCGACAAGCGAAUCUGGAACCACGAGCUCGAACCGCGGACGGCAACCAGGACUUCAAACGAGCACCAUCGGAAUUCAAUCACACUCCAUGCUUAAAUCACAAUUGGAACUUCGGAGAAGAAAGUGAACUAACUUUUUUGUGUUUAUAUUUUUGUGUUUUCUAACUUUUGAAACAAAAAAAAUCAGAACAAGAAAAGAAAUGAUUUCUUUUGAAAUCG
This 592-nucleotide long non-coding RNA is filed under the name Nicotiana tabacum (common tobacco). RNAcentral describes it as "long non-coding RNA (NTAB_LNC014262)". The record is from RNAcentral. Lineage: Eukaryota; Viridiplantae; Streptophyta; Magnoliopsida; Solanales; Solanaceae.